GCUCAGUUGGUAGAGUACAAAGCUCUUAACCUUGUGGACGUGGGUUCAAGCCCCAU
Molecule: non-coding RNA, 56 nt
Organism: Triticum urartu
Lineage: Eukaryota; Viridiplantae; Streptophyta; Magnoliopsida; Poales; Poaceae
Source: Rfam